Cricetulus griseus (Chinese hamster) is the source of this 2062-nucleotide non-coding RNA. NCBI's taxonomy places the organism in Eukaryota, Metazoa, Chordata, Mammalia, Rodentia, Cricetidae. The record is from RefSeq and is a predicted model, not a curated record.
UACUUUACACUGUUAAGUUUUAAUCCUCUUUUAGACUAAAAGGGGAAUUGUAGGGGAAGCUGUAGCCACGCCUACUUAGGGGCUGGCUACAGGUGUUCGAGGGCAUGGUCAGGGUGACAUAGAUUGAUACUUGCAUAGGACUGCAUUUUGUGUUUUCAGUUUCACUUUGGUACUUGCUGGACACACUGCUGCCAUGCCAGCUGGCUAGGUUGCUCUGUAAGUAAGGCUUUUCCCUAUUAAAUACCCUUAUAUUUCUACCUGACUCCAUAUUGGUAAUUUCCCACUAUAAAUAACACUUAAGUAAAUGUAGGAAUGUGAACAUCUUUUAAACAUACUGAUUUAAUCUCCUUUGGAUAUAUGUUUAUGAAUAGUGUUUCCACAUCAUAGCUAAGUCUGUUUUAAAUAAUUUUAGGGAAUUUUGCAGUUCCUCACAAUGACUGUGCAAAUUUCCAUUCCUCUAAGGAUCUGCAAGGAAGACCUCUGCUCCAAAGCAGGAUGACAACUCUGAAAAGUAUCCUUUCCAGAAUGUUAACUAAUUUGUAUUUGCAUAUUCUGCUAGUUAUGCAGGAAAAUAGGGUAAGAGUGUUGUCUUUAAUUUAUGUGGAAAUCAGUGAUGAAUUUUAGUUAAGAAUGUAUUCAUUUCUUGUCUGAAACAUACACACAUAUGCAGAAAUGCACACACACACACACACACACACACACACACACACACACACACACACACACCCCACUCUUGUCUUCAAGGACUAGAUUAUUAUCUGAAAUUGCAAUUCCAUGUUACCAAAAUGUUAUAUUUCAAAUGUGAACAAAGUAAUGAUACAUUAAUGAGUAAAAGUCAUCAAAGAUUUGCAGCCAAGAGGCUGCAUAUUUAUAGUUCCCCAGGGAAUAUGGAUCAGGAGCCUGAAUAUUCCCCCAGAUGUAUUCAGAAUCUUACAAGGUUGUGAGAAAUAUUGGCUAGACUGAAUUUUUAUCUGAAUUCCAGGCAAGAGAAGAAUCUCUCUAGUUGCGUUGAAUUGUGGGAUUGACAGUGGCAUAUGACUUGUCUGAGAGGUUUCCUUCAUGUUCUCAGGCCUGGUAGCUGCUUACACCAUGGAGUUUCCAAUAAUGUCUAUCUCUGUGACACUAGUCUGCCUUAGAUUUGAGUUCACUGCUUCCAGCAUCAUUUUCCUUUUGAGAAAGUCAGAAUCAGCAGACUUGCGAUGUUGAUGACAUCCACAAAAUCCUGUAGCUUGCCUGUUGACUUAAAGGUUUGCUGAGGUGGUGGAGUUGAGGCCUUUAAGGGGUGUCAAAUUUGGCAGCCUACCCUUAUGUGAGAAGCUGUUCAACUUCUCUUCCUAGUUCAUUGUGUUCACUGAAGUAUUCCAUGGAUCGACAAAGCCUCUUUGGAAGAUGCAUCAUUUUUGGUUAGGAGACAGAAAGAAAGAAUAGACAAGAGGAUGAAACACUGAGAAGAAAGGGUACUUGGGGAACAAGACUGAGGAAGACUUGUUCCCUGAUUCAUGUUCCACUUUUCACAACACUGGGGGAACAAGCCUGAAGGAAGCUCUACUUCUGGCCAGUGUUACACUUUUCAGCUCACAUAUAUAAAUUGUAUAUACAUACAGAUAUUAUUUUAUAACCAUGAACAUUAUCAAUUAGCACAUAGCAUAAGGCUAAUAAGUGUUCUGGUUACUAUGGAGACUCAAGUGGAGCCUGGUGAGAACAAGAAUUUUGAUUUUAAAUGUUAACAUUUUGCUACCAUUCUUGAAUUUUUAUAAAUUUCUUAAAUUACUUUAAUUAGAAGCAUUUAACAUCAGCUUUGAAAUGGGUUUGAUUAUGUCUAGACAAGUAUUGAAUUUGUAAUGUGUACCUUUGUUACCCCACAGAUGUGUCUGUGGUAUUUUACUUUGCAAAGAAAGAAGAUCUACUAGUAAAGUCUGUUUCCUGAACAUUGAUGAGGCUGUUAUACUCCACUUGAACACAUUUAUAAAUUUUUAGUUUCAGUAAACAAAUAAGAGGGUUAACUAAAAACCACAAGAAGGGAAAAGAGCAAUAAAAUAUUUUCAUGUGUUGAAUUCAUAUA